AGGGUUUUAGGGAAGAAACACAGAGGGAAUACAUAUAAAUAUUUUGAUUUGAUUUUAACAAAGAGGGGGAAGGAAGAAAGGAGGGAAAAGGAGAUCAGACUGCUUAACCCCUAGUUUAACCCCCUGGCUAAUAAGCCUAUCUUCCUACACUAAAAUCCUAAAGGCCAGUCCAAUAUAAACUCAGAGAUCUCACAUAUAUAGAGUCCUUAGCAGGUAGAUGAUGGUAUCCAGUUGAAGGUCUUCAGAGGUCCAGAGAAUGCCUGAAGUCUUCCCCAACCUUCCCUUAGUCCACCUAAGAGUAUUGUGGAAAACUCCUGCUCACUCUUGCUUGAAGGUCUGUUUGCUCAGGUCUAAUGGAGUCCCCUAGAGAGAUAAGAUCUGCCAUCGUCAGGUUUUCCUGUCAGCUCAAACUCCAGUUGUAGCAAAACUCAGACUCCAACAGUUUUGGAAUCUUCCCGUGCCAGCUCUGAAGAUUCUCUGUCUUAAGGACCUGCCAAUAAUGCUUUGCAACUCUACUACUACAGUUCCCACCAAGAAUGACUUCAGCUAUUUCCAGCAACUUCACUACCAUGUGAUCAUGGAAGCCCUCUGCAACUGACUAGCAAAAGACAAAUUCAUGUAAUGAUUGUUCUUUUAAAAACAUUUUUUUUAAAGACAAAAUUAUGUUCAUUUUGAACCUGUGGUAUAGCUAUAAGUUGCUACAGGUGAGAGAUCUAUUCCAGUGCUAAUUACCAAAGGGUCUGUGACUUAGAGUCUUAGUGAGAGGAAUUAAUUUAAUUAAAAUGAUUUUCUCAGGAUCACAGAGUUAGUAAGUGUCAGAGAUGGGACAUGAACCCAGGACUUCCUAAUGCUGAGGUUUGCCUACUAAACUCAACCUUUCUGGAACAUGUGCCUUACAUUCCACAGCUGUCAAUCAAGAAUGUUUUCCAUUACUUGCCUUCAUUAAAAAGACAGAGAAACUAAGGAGGUAUUAAAAUAAGUUUAAAAAAACUUGAGAAAAAUGAAACAGGAAAGAAAAGAUACCUUUCACAACUUUUAAAAUAUUGGCCCUUGAGGAUACCCAAUAUGAUGGAAGGAAUACGACCUCUGCAGUCUGGAGACUUAGGUUCAAAUCUUUCCUCUAAAGCUCACUCCCUAUAGGGCCUUGACCUCUGUGGACCUCAAGUUCCAUCAUCUGUAAAAUGGG
Molecule: long non-coding RNA, 1186 nt
Filed under: Monodelphis domestica (gray short-tailed opossum)
Lineage: Eukaryota; Metazoa; Chordata; Mammalia; Didelphimorphia; Didelphidae
Description: lncRNA (ENSMODG00000041511.1)
Source: RNAcentral